RNAcentral lists this long non-coding RNA (268 nucleotides) under Elaeis guineensis (African oil palm). Its description in RNAcentral is "long non-coding RNA (EGUI_LNC031789)". Lineage: Eukaryota; Viridiplantae; Streptophyta; Magnoliopsida; Arecales; Arecaceae. The record is from RNAcentral.
AGAAUGGCAAAAGAAUUGGGAGUCCAGCACCUCAGAGUUCAUAGUGACUUUUAGCUCAUCGUCGGCCAGAUCCAGGGGGAAUAUGAAGCACGAGAGCUAAACAUAAUAAAAUGUCUACAAAAGGUUAGGGAUCUUGCCUCCAACUUCACCACCAUGAACAUUCAACAAAUAUCGAGAUCGAAAAAUGUGUGGGUUGACCUCUUAUCCACUCAUGAUGCUCGAUACGAUCGACCUAAAAAGAAGCUCGUACAUGGAGACUCUCAAGAAG